Molecule: microRNA, 23 nt
Filed under: Prunus persica (peach)
Lineage: Eukaryota; Viridiplantae; Streptophyta; Magnoliopsida; Rosales; Rosaceae
Description: ppe-miR6265
Source: miRBase by way of RNAcentral
UUGAACUUUGACCCGAUUCGCAU